RNAcentral lists this transfer RNA (54 nucleotides) under Bos taurus (domestic cattle). It matches the Rfam family "tRNA", at positions 8 to 61 of the family's 71-position model. Rfam says of the family: Transfer RNA (tRNA) molecules are approximately 80 nucleotides in length. Their secondary structure includes four short double-helical elements and three loops (D, anti-codon, and T loops). RNAcentral also lists the same sequence under 5 other names. The record is from Rfam by way of RNAcentral. Lineage: Eukaryota; Metazoa; Chordata; Mammalia; Artiodactyla; Bovidae.
UGGCUCAGUGGUAAAGAAUCUGCCUGCCAAGCAGAAGACAUGGGUUCAACCCCU